GAAAGAGGCCCGAGGCAAUAAGGACUGCUAAUCCCUAUCCCCGUAGUUAAAUUCUACGGCUCAUUCA
RNAcentral lists this transfer RNA (67 nucleotides) under Auchenoglanis occidentalis (giraffe catfish). RNAcentral's name for it is "tRNA-Ser". Lineage: Eukaryota; Metazoa; Chordata; Actinopteri; Siluriformes; Auchenoglanididae. The record is from RNAcentral.